Capsicum annuum is the source of this 979-nucleotide long non-coding RNA. RefSeq lists it as uncharacterized. The transcript has 4 exons. NCBI's taxonomy places the organism in Eukaryota, Viridiplantae, Streptophyta, Magnoliopsida, Solanales, Solanaceae. The record is from RefSeq and is a predicted model, not a curated record.
GAUAAAAGUUAAAAGUUUAGGGUUAGAAGCUAUCGUCUUCAUUCUGUUAUUCUUCUUGUCUGAGCUUAGGGUUAGCAUCGCCAUUUAUUUCUCCCUUGUUCGUGGCUAAAAAGCUAUCGUCUUCAUUCUCUUCUUCUUAUUUUUUGAGCGUAGGGUUAGCAUCACCAUGUCAUUCUCCCUUGUUCGCAGCUAAAAUUGACAGUAGAAUUCAAGGGUAAAUUGGCAGCCGAAUUCAAGCUAUCGUCUUGCAAUUGUUCUGGGAUUAAGAGUUGAAAGGCGUGGGUUUUCGGUCAUUGUGUUGAUGAAUAAUGUCUCAAAUUGUAGCUCCAAUUGUCUAGCCGCUCAAAUGGAGAAAAUUGAAACACAAAAGGGAGCAAAUGAACAGCCCGUUGAUGCAUUUUCAGCCAUCAUGGGUGCCGAACAUCCGAGAUGUGUAAGACUGCUUGGAGGAGGGUUACAAAGACUUCUUUGAAAAUCUUAAAUUGCAGCUCCGGACAAACUUUAAAUGCCACAAAUGAUGUUAUGCAAAAAAUGGAGUAUCAAAUCGAGGAGCAAAAGAGAACAAUUCGACAAGAAGUUGUUGUAGAUGUAAUUGCUCAACUUUAAAAUGCAGCAAUAAUUGAUCCGAAGAUGCUGGUGGCAUUGUCCAUUCCUUCACCAACAAAAUCUACUUUUACCCUAGCAGCCUGUCAAAACAAUCAAGAUGAUCAUGACAUACAAGAUGGUGGGAAUGAAAUUGAUGAACUAGACUUUAUCUAAGAGAUCGAUCACAUUGGCUUCAUGCCACACUAGCUGUUGGAAAAACUUGUGUAUGUUUUGAUUGAGAUCGAUCAUAUUUGACUGACUAUAUAUACGUAGUUUCAAUCAUCUUUUAUUUUUGAACAUUCAAAACUUAUGUGUUUUGAUUUUUUUGAAUGGUCAAAAAAUUAUUUGGUCUCUUAUUGGUUGAUAUUUUAUUGGGAAUUUAUAGUUACUAGUA